GAUGAACGCUGGCGGCGUGCCUAAUACAUGCAAGUCGAGCGAACAGACGAGGAGCUUGCUCCUCUGACGUUAGCGGCGGACGGGUGAGUAACACGUGGAUAACCUACCUAUAAGACUGGGAUAACUUCGGGAAACCGGAGCUAAUACCGGAUAACAUGUUGAACCGCAUGGUUCAACAGUGAAAGACGGUUUUGCUGUCACUUAUAGAUGGAUCCGCGCCGCAUUAGCUAGUGGGUAAGGUAACGGCUUACCAAGGCAACGAUGCGUAGCCGACCUGAGAGGGUGAUCGGCCACACUGGAACUGAGAAACGGUCCAGACUCCUACGGGAGGCAGCAGUAGGGAAUCUUCCGCAAUGGACGAAAGCCUGACGGAGCAACGCCGCGUGAGUGAAGAAGGUCUUCGGAUCGUAAAACUCUGUUAUUAGGGAAGAAAAAAUGUGUAAGUAACUAUGCACGUCUUGACGGUACCUAAUCAGAAAGCCACGGCUAACUACGUG
RNAcentral lists this ribosomal RNA (497 nucleotides) under uncultured bacterium. RNAcentral's name for it is "partial 16S ribosomal RNA". It matches the Rfam family "Bacterial small subunit ribosomal RNA", at positions 28 to 507 of the family's 1533-position model. The record is from RNAcentral.